RNAcentral lists this ribosomal RNA (1163 nucleotides) under Campylobacter jejuni. RNAcentral describes it as "partial 23S ribosomal RNA". It matches the Rfam family "Bacterial large subunit ribosomal RNA", at positions 1 to 1178 of the family's 2925-position model. Lineage: Bacteria; Pseudomonadati; Campylobacterota; Epsilonproteobacteria; Campylobacterales; Campylobacteraceae. The record is from RNAcentral.
AAAAAAGGUAAGCUACUAAGAGCGAAUGGUGGAUGCCUUGACUGGUAAAGGCGAUGAAGGACGUACUAGACUGCGAUAAGCUACGGGGAGCUGUCAAGAAGCUUUGAUCCGUAGAUUUCCGAAUGGGGCAACCCAAUGUAUAGAGAUAUACAUUACCUAUAUAGGAGCGAACGAGGGGAAUUGAAACAUCUUAGUACCCUCAGGAAAAGAAAUCAAUAGAGAUUGCGUCAGUAGCGGCGAGCGAAAGCGCAAGAGGGCAAACCCAGUGCUUGCACUGGGGGUUGUAGGACUGCAAUGUGCAAGAGCUGAGUUUAGCAGAACAUUCUGGAAAGUAUAGCCAUAGAGGGUGAUAGUCCCGUAUGCGAAAAACAAAGCUUAGCUAGCAGUAUCCUGAGUAGGGCGGGACACGAGGAAUCCUGUCUGAAUCCGGGUCGACCACGAUCCAACCCUAAAUACUAAUACCAGAUCGAUAGUGCACAAGUACCGUGAGGGAAAGGUGAAAAGAACUGAGGUGAUCAGAGUGAAAUAGAACCUGAAACCAUUUGCUUACAAUCAUUCAGAGCACUAUGUAGCAAUACAGUGUGAUGGACUGCCUUUUGCAUAAUGAGCCUGCGAGUUGUGGUGUCUGGCAAGGUUAAGCAAACGCGAAGCCGUAGCGAAAGCGAGUCUGAAUAGGGCGCUUAGUCAGAUGCUGCAGACCCGAAACGAAGUGAUCUAUCCAUGAGCAAGUUGAAGCUAGUGUAAGAACUAGUGGAGGACUGAACCCAUAGGCGUUGAAAAGCCCCGGGAUGACUCGUGGAUAGGGGUGAAAGGCCAAUCAAACUUCGUGAUAGCUGGUUCUCUCCGAAAUAUAUUUAGGUAUAGCGUUGUGUCGUAAUAUAAGGGGGUAGAGCACUGAAUGGGCUAGGGCAUACACCAAUGUACCAAACCCUAUCAAACUCCGAAUACCUUAUAUGUAAUCACAGCAGUCAGGCGGCGAGUGAUAAAAUCCGUCGUCAAGAGGGAAACAACCCAGACUACCAGCUAAGGUCCCUAAAUCUUACUUAAGUGGAAAACGAUGUGAAGUUACUUAAACAACCAGGAGGUUGGCUUAGAAGCAGCCAUCCUUUAAAGAAAGCGUAAUAGCUCACUGGUCUAGUGAUUUUGCGCGGAAAAUAUAACGG